UGGGGAAUUUUGGACAAUGGGCGAAAGCCUGAUCCAGCAAUGCCGCGUGUGUGAAGAAGGCCUUCGGGUUGUAAAGCACUUUUGUCCGGAAAGAAAUCCUUGGCUCUAAUACAGUCGGGGGAUGACGGUACCGGAAGAAUAAGCACCGGCUAACUACGUGCCAGCAGCCGCGGUAAUACGUAGGGUGCAAGCGUUAAUCGGAAUUACUGGGCGUAAAGCGUGCGCAGGCGGUUUGCUAAGACCGAUGUGAAAUCCCCGGGCUCAACCUGGGAACUGCAUUGGUGACUGGCAGGCUAGAGUAUGGCAGAGGGGGGUAGAAUUCCACGUGUAGCAGUGAAAUGCGUAGAGAUGUGGAGGAAUACCGAUGGCGAAGGCAGCCCCCUGGGCCAAUACUGACGCUCAUGCACGAAAGCGUGGGGAGCAAACAGGAUUAGAUACCCUGGUAGUCCACGCCCUAAACGAUGUCAACUAGAUGUUGGGGAUUCAUUUCCUUAGUAACGUAGCUAACGCGUGAAGUUGACCGCCUGGGGAGUACGGUCGCAAGAUUAAAACUCAAAUGAAUUGACGGGGUCAUAGCUGUUUCCUG
Molecule: ribosomal RNA, 586 nt
Filed under: uncultured bacterium
Lineage: Bacteria
Description: partial 16S ribosomal RNA
Rfam family: Bacterial small subunit ribosomal RNA
Source: RNAcentral